This 3405-nucleotide long non-coding RNA is filed under the name Oncorhynchus mykiss (rainbow trout). Its description in RNAcentral is "lncRNA (ENSOMYG00000074935.1)". The record is from RNAcentral. Lineage: Eukaryota; Metazoa; Chordata; Actinopteri; Salmoniformes; Salmonidae.
AUGGCGAGCUUUUCAUUCAUUCUCCCUGAAGACGGGCAUUGUUCUUUUAAGGACAACGACGUUAGCUCAGGGUGGAUCUCAAUGGUGACCCAACUCAACACCCUUGAAGGUCCAGAGUCAGAGAGUCAGAACAUCCAUCAGAGCGUUGCAGAGGUGCUUGGUGACAAGUACCACUACGCAAAUGACAUUGACAGCUCUCUGCUCUGGACAGUUGGGUACACCCCCUACAUUCCCCCAGCUCUGAAAGGAAGAAGUUUCCUCUCUGUCGAGAACGUCUUCCUGGAUGAGUGGGAGCCACUGACACUCCUGCAGACUCCUCAGGUUCUGUCCACCAGUGUUACCAUCGUGGAGAAUGACCUGUUCCAGUCUGCUGCAGGCCUAGUAUCUCAGGUUCUGUCCACCAGUGUUACCAUCGUGGAGAAUGACCUGAUCCAGUCUGAUGCAGGCCUAGUGUCUCAGGUUCUGUUCACCAGUGUUGCCAUCGUGGAGAAUGACCUGAUCCAGUCUGCUGCAGGUCUAGUGUCUCAGGUUCUGUCAUCCAGUGUUACCAUCGUGGAGAAUGACCUGAUCCAGUCUGAUGCAGGCCUAGUGUCUCAGGUUCUGUCCAUCAGCAUUUCCAUCGUGGAGAAUGACCUGUUCCAGUCUGCUGCAGGCCUAGUAUCUCAGGUUCUGUUCACCAGUGUUACCAUCGUGGAGAAUGACCUGUUCCAGUCUGCUACAAACCUAAUGUCUCAGGAUAAUGACUCCACCCCGAGAGCCUCCAACCAACCUGAGGUCCUUGUGGCUUAUGUUUCAACCAAGAGAAGUAGUCUAACCAUCACUAUUUCUAUGGUUUCAACCAAGAGUUGCCUUGUUGCUUUACAUGAAGUUGAUGCCAGUGCUACAAGCCUGGAGCAAUCUGCUGAGAAAAUGUCUACCUCUACCACUGAUGUCAACGACAUCUCAACUGCUGCUGCCAAGAAGAAGAAGAGGUGUGGAUUAUUCUCAUCUCUCUGGAGAGCUCUCAGGGGGAAGAACAAGAAGCCUGGAAGUAAUAACUCAUACACUCUUAGUCUCUUUUGUACCUAAUAUAAUCAUUUAUCAACUAUUUUGAUACUGAAAUCCGGUGUUAAUGGCCUGUCUGUGAAAUAAGUUUUCUAUAUUUUCUACCUUUAGUUUUUUCCAGGCUAAAGUGGCUUCCAAGAAAGAGGAUGAAAUCAACAAGGAUGUGAGCAGCCUCACCUGCCACCACAACACCACACAGGGAGAUCACUGAUGCAGACACCCACAAUGGUGUUCCUGUUUUUUUUUAUCACACUUUGUCUUCAUCCCCAAUCCCUUCCUCGACCCCACCCGUUUUAUAUUCUGUAAACCUUUUGUCAUUGCAUUUGAUCAUGUUUGUCUCUCAUUGGUAUCACUGUCAUUGAAAAUGGAAGGGGUUUCGUAGUUCAACUACUUGUCAAUAAAUCACUGGUUAACCUUCAAACUCCGAAUUGAGACAACCGAGGCAAAGACGUCAGCAGGAGGGCAACUGUGACCUUCAGAAAUAUGCAAUUAUGUGAAAAGUUUGUAACCACGUAACAACGCUAAUGCGAUCAGUUAUGUCCACAUUUUCCGGAGAAUAACAGGCAUUCUCGCUCAGGGCCUCAAGAUGGAGUAGUAAGCACAAUUAUAAUGGUUCCCCUCAUAAUGAUGCUUUUAUCAGCUGUUGGAUAUGGGGAUAUUCCCAUAUUAGGAAUUCCUGUGGGAGAUUUAUACCGGUGAAUAAGUAUGAUAAUUGGACAUGGAUUGUCUCUGGCUACUGAGGAUUUCCAUCAUAUGAUUGUAGCCUAGGUUAUGAUUCUGUUAUGAUGAGGUUUACAUUGCAGUUGUCUCCUUAGACAUGACUGACCCACGGUAUUGAAGUCUAUUACACCACGUUGAUGCAUCAUGAAAACACCCAUGUGUGUGCAGGAGUUUAACCACAGGCAUAAUGUAGACAAGGUGUUUAUGUAAAGCAAGUGUGUUUUCAGUUUGUUCUUUGUGAGCUAUUGUCAGAUUAAGACAUAUAACAGAUGAUAUGACAUGGCUAUAGUUUAUGUUUCAAACCACCACCAACAAAACACCAACCCUGUUCUCAAUUAAAUUCACUAUUCUGCUCCAUUUCCGAGGGCUCUUUUACAACACAAUGUUAUGAUAAUGAAACCUGAAACCAAUAGCCAUCUCCAUUUAGGUUACAGCAAGAGGCUAAAAAUAUCCAGUUCUGACUGCUAGUAGUCACGACCUAAAUUAUGACAAAAUUCUGCACCACUGGUAGUUGACGUCAAUACAGUACAGUCACUUCCUCGGUGACGUAAUCGAACGGACUCGGUCGGUAGCAUUGCCAUCUGGUGGAUGGACUCCGACUCGAGCCCCGUAACAUUACGUCAUUGGAAAGAAACCGAAGCCAGUGUUUGGGUCUGGGUUUCAAUACAAACGGAUGAAUAGCCGACCAUUAGAACUGAUACUCGACAGCAACAACUUGAGCUACAAUUAAUACGCCUUUAGGCUACAGUAAACUCUUAAAUAACUACUCAAUAUGCCUCAGACGUUUUCUGGAGAGUUUUGGGGAAUCUUGUGACUAAGAAUGUUUCAAAUUAAUUGAGUGCGCUUCAUUGGUAAUGAGAAAAUAGUUGCACAGUCAGCAUAACAGCGUAGGGGUUUUUGACUUCAGUUCAUUGACAUGUAUGUAAAUUCUACUGUAUAGACUAGCCAGUAUCAUGGUCGUCGUGCAUUUUUUGUUUAAUAUACUUCAAAAGACAAGGGCUCGACAAUGAAGUGAAUGGAUAGAUAGUAAAAACUAGCAUUAGCUGAUUUAAAACUGUUGCAAUUAUGAUACUUAGGAGUUGUGCGUAAAUGUCUCUGUCCAUGGUGCUGAAAUGUUUUUUCUUUAUCGUGACUGAGAAACGCAUUGCAGGAUGUCCAUUGUACUGAUCCUAUUUUAUGGACAAUCAAAUAUGUUAUUCGACUCUACUGAUACACACUGUAUGUUCAUCCAGCUAUAUGUUAUGUUGAAUAUUGUUUGAAAUAUAGCUGGUAAGGGUGAUUGCCAUUUGCAUCUCUGACGCAACUUUGAGGAAUCAAACUGAACGCUGUAAAGUCUAAGACGUUGAACUCUGUUUUUGGUUAAUAUUUGCAGAUGUGUGUGUGUGUGUGUGUGUGUUGUGCCAGCCAGGGUGGCGUGACUCCUGAAAUAAGUGAGGUUGGAAAACGUGUUGUUCUUGCAUGCUUUAUCUUGGCCAGGUAGCAGUUGCAAAUGAGAACUUGUUCUCAACUAGCCUACCUGGUUAAAUAAUUCUCAAAUUCGUAAAAGUGCGUGCACAAUCACAAGGAAGAAAGAUGCGAGCUCUGGGGGCUGCAUUCCCAUUGACUGUUCCAUCUCCCUGUCAGUGGCUGCAACAUUAGCAG